GCGAUAUAGCUCAGUCCGGUUAGAGCACAGGAUUCAUAACCCUGGGGUCGAAGGUUCAAUUCCCUCUAUCGCC
RNAcentral lists this transfer RNA (73 nucleotides) under uncultured Methyloprofundus sp. It matches the Rfam family "tRNA". From Rfam's summary of the family: Transfer RNA (tRNA) molecules are approximately 80 nucleotides in length. Lineage: Bacteria; Pseudomonadati; Pseudomonadota; Gammaproteobacteria; Methylococcales; Methylococcaceae. The record is from RNAcentral.